RNAcentral lists this long non-coding RNA (4431 nucleotides) under Oncorhynchus kisutch (coho salmon). Its description in RNAcentral is "lncRNA (ENSOKIG00005028987.1)". Lineage: Eukaryota; Metazoa; Chordata; Actinopteri; Salmoniformes; Salmonidae. The record is from RNAcentral.
AUGUUUCGUGGUUUUCACCAUCCCGGAGAACUUCCUCGGGGCCCUGCUCCCUUAGGCCACCCAUCCCAUGUACAGCCACCCGGUCCCAGCUACGGAGGGCCCUUUGGCCCGCCACCCCACGUUCCAAUGCCUGGACACUUACCUCCUGGAUCUUGUCAUCCUUUCUUACCUCCCGGAUCGGGAAGUGAAUACCUCCACAGGCCCAUGAGGGAACAUUAUAUCAAUACUCCACACUGCAGCAGUUACUCCAUUGACCGCAGCACAGUGAUCAGUCUGGGUGGUCAACAGAUUCUCCCACCAGACACACAGCAUCUUCAGAUGCCACAGUGGCCCGCCAAUCCUUUGGAAUCAUGUCAAAGAGACAAGAGUGAGAACUUGACAGCUGGGGAAGAAUUCCUCAGAUGCCUUGCAGCUAAUAAGCCAGUCCCUGACUUCCUCAAAGGAGUCAACCUGUUGGACGCAGGGAAGGCAGUCAAGGCUCCAGGUGUACCAGAAAACCGGGGUUAUGAGAGGCAGAGACUCCGGAGCAAAUCUCGCAGUCCAGCGAAGGAAAGCAGGGGCAGGAGUAAGAGCCGAGCAAAGAGCCAGGUAAGAAGCAAGAGCCGGGCAAGAAGCAAGAGCUGUCCGCGCAGCAGAAGUCGUACCCGAGGGAAAAGCCGGGCAAGAAGCAAAAGCCGACCACGAAGCAGGAGUCGCAGUCGUGGAAAGAGCCAGGUCAGAAGCAAGAGCAAGGCUCGUAGUAGGAGCCGGAGCCGAGGGAAAAGUCGGGUGAGAAGCAAAAGCAGAUCGAGGAGUAGGAGUCGCAGCUAUGGAAAGAGCCGGGGCAGAGUGGACCAUCAUUCCGACCACAGGGACAAAAGGAGCCCCAUUCGGAGCUGUAGCAGCAGGAUCAGUAAUCACUCCUCCGUACACAAUGACCUGCUCGAGGGCUUGAAACGGGUUAUGAACAGCAAGCAACUGGAGGACAGUAUGCCUUCCAUCAAGAAUGCCAUUCUCACAAUACAGGCCAAUAACUUUAGCAGAGAUAUCCAGAGCAGCAGAGCAAUCCAGAGCAACUGUCUUCCAUGUGGACCAGUCUUGGCCAGCAGACAGGAAUUUCUUCAAGCCUCAGAUGGGCCCAAGCCAGUCAGCAGACAGGAGGAGACCGACAGCAAUCUUCUCCCCCACGAGAGAGUGGGCUGUGACUUCUCCUGGCUGCAGGGCACCAGGGAGGUCUCGCCUGUUCAGAAGCUGGAGGAGGUCGAGGAUGAGGAGAACUUCCUCUAUGGGAAUGAGGAUAACCAGUCAAAACAACGCCCUGCCACUCUGCCUUUUGCACCGUCCACCUCCAUUACCCAGCAGAGCGAUGCAGAGAUCUCCCCAGCAGGCCCACCCUACUAUCAAAGCCAGCCUCUGUUCGGGAACCAUGGUGAAGUCCUGGAGUUCAAGAUGCCUCCUCAACCGGUCCAGUCCAGUGUGAGGCCUGAGCAGAGGGUGCAGCCUGUUCCUGAUGUGAAGCCCGCCCCCACUGUGAAGGAAUGUGAGGAGUUUAAGACCAUGUUGAAGAACAUUGGACUGAAUCUGUGCACAUCAGAGAUCAGUAAGAUGAUGGUCAAGCUGCAGCAACAGAAGGAGGGGAAGAUGCCAGAGCAGAAGAGGGAGGAGAAAGUGCCAUCACCAGCACCAGUGCUGCCUCUUCCUCUUGUAAUUGGGGCAUCACAGGAGCCCAGACUGGCCUCACCAGCACUCGGGACAGCACCAAUACGACAAGCAUUGGAGUCAUUACAGUUCAUUAUUAAAGCAACAAGGGAGAAAAGGGCCAAUAGUGAUCCACAUGAUGGCAACCAUUCCCAAAGGAAUUCAGACAAACAGAAGAGCAAAGAUGAGGAGAGUCAGAGGAGAUCGAGACAUGACCAAAUGAAAAGGAAAGAAACUCUUGUGAAGGAACUGGAGGAAUUGCUAAAGCAGGAUGGGUCUACCUUUUUGAUUCCGGUCAUCGGGUUCUACUGUCAGAGGUGUGAGGAGUUCUUCGGAGACCUGACCACUGCUGAGGGCCAUGCAGCAACCCACCGGCGGAAUGAGCCUAGCAUGGCAUGUACCUAGCUACAUUCUCUCGCCCCACACAGUAACCCAACUGUAUACACUGCAUUGACCAAAGAAACAGCAUAGUUAAACCAUUGCGUUGUGCAACCGAAAUCACCCCUCAGUAUAAACUUUAGGUUCCUUUCCAGUCCACUUGUCUUCAGCAUCCAUAGAAAAGUCAAAUUCCCCAAAAGAUUUGUGGUAUUAUAAUCCCAAACUGUAGCUACUUGUUUCACCUUGUCUAUAGCAGCAGCAUGGAGACAGACGACCUGGAGAGGACCGAAGACACCCUAGCCAUUACAUCGGGCACCCCCUGGGUCCAGAGUGGAGGGACCAGGGAGACCCAAGAGAUCAGAGGUAUCGCAAACUAGACGAGGGCCCAAAGGGUUACAGGGAGAAGAUCUACGUGAAAGAGGAACGCCCUGGAAGCCCCAGGAUAAAGAUGCCGAUGGUCCGUGGGCACACCCCACCAGGUCUGCAGAAGGCCAGGGGGAGAGAGGAGGGGAGGGUGGAUAAGGGCUCUUGUGCUGCUUCCUCUGGGAAAUAUGGUAGGGUCAAACUGGAGGUGGUGGAGACCAAAGGAAAGCCCAACGUGGAAGUAUGUGACAAGAAGGACAAAGAUAAAGGAGAAAGCAGUUCUAACAGUGAUGACGAGAAAGACAAAUCUCCUAAAGGCAACAAAAAGAAAAAGAAGAAGGAGAAAAAGAAGAAGGAAAAGAAGAAGAAGAAGAAGAAGGAAAAGGGUUAGAAGUAAUAGCUGCUGUACUGCAUGUCCUGGUUUGAUUGUACUGUAUCUCUGGAGGACCUGGCCUUGGGUCAUUGUUUGGCAUCAUUGCAGCGGUUUUCAGAAGUUGGUGCUUUUAAUGUUAAAAAGAAGCAGUAUUCCUCUGAUUCAUUCUCUCCUUUUGGGGUUGUCUUGUUUUUCAACUAACUGUGUUGUAGUGGAUAACAGCACAUUUUCAUUGAAUGCUGUUGGAGGACAGGCCGUUCCAGGGUGCAUAUGCAGCAUUUAUGAUGUCCAGAAUUGUUUUGCUGCCAGCUACUGAUCCUAUUGUUCAGACCUUUAGUUACUGUAGAUGUUUAUUAAAUAACCCUCUUUAUAUUGGGCCAUGUUUGUGUAUAUUUCACCCGGUACAACCUUGAUUUAGUGCUUUGAGUGUUAUCAAAUGUACUUUUUCCAUUUAAAGGUCAACUGCCAUUUGAAGCGUGUGCUGUCUUUCUUCUUAUUGUUAAACCGAUGAGAUGGAAUUAUUCUGUAAUGAAGAAAUUCUUAUACAUUGUCCUCUUAUAAUCUAGGUCUCGGCAAUUGAUGGCGCAAGGCUAUUUGCAAGCGCACAUGAUCUUGCCAAAGUCAUUGGAUCCUAUCAGGAUAGGAACAGUUGACAUGUUUUUGUAAGGUGAUUACUUUUUUUUCUGAUUAUAUACGUUGUUUUUGUCUGCUGUUGCUUACUCUGACUUCCUCUUUCUCACAUAUUAGGCAUUUCCAUUGAUCCAGGUUUAUUUGACAAAAGCAGGGGGAAAAAAUAUUCUGACGUGUAAUAGAAACGGCAGAUAUAGGAGACAUUUUAAAGCUCGAUAACAUUUUUAUCCGUUCAAUAGGGUUCUAUUUUUCUUUUGUUGAACUUUCUUUACUGCAACUAAUGAGGGGAAACUGAUUUUGAAUAAAUGUUGACUGUAAAAUACUUUAAGGUAUGCUGGGCAUGUGAUGUCAUCACAUAACUAUAGGCUGCACUCCUAAAUGCCUACUGCUUGCAAAAUAAGUUUUCAUUUUAAGCUAACAUGGAAUUGUUUUAAGAUGGUCAUACCAUGGAUCAUUUAGCUAUUUGAUUUUGAAUUUUAUGACCCCUUUGGGUAUCAAAAAUAUUUAGUGAUUUGAUCAAAUAUUUUAUUUCACCUCUAUUACUAUAGCGCAUAGAAACACAUUGAAUAAGACAUUAAUAAAUGUCAUAAAAGACAGUAAAAAAAUAGAUCACAUGGAAUAAGGUUUUAAAGUGUCUGUCCUAGAUAUACGAAAGCUCAAGAAAUAGUUUAGUUUAGAAAGUAUUCAUUCCCCUUGACUUAUUCCACAUUUUGUUGUGCCUGAAUUAAACAAAACUAAAAAUUAUCACCCAUCUACACACAAUACCCCAUAAUGACAAAGUGAAAACAUGUUUUUAGAAAUGUGCAAAUUUAUUGAAAAUGAAAUACAGAAAUGUCUCAUUUACAUACACUACCGUUCAAAUGUUUAGGGUCACUUAGAAAUGUCCUUGUUUUUGAAAGAAAAGCACUUUUUUGUCCAUUAAAAUAACAUCAAAUUGAUCUGAAAUACAAUGUAAACAUUGUUCAUGUUGUAAAUGACUAUUGUAGCUGGAUACGGCAGAUUUUUAAUGA